This 450-nucleotide ribosomal RNA is filed under the name uncultured organism. Its description in RNAcentral is "partial 16S ribosomal RNA". It matches the Rfam family "Bacterial small subunit ribosomal RNA", at positions 333 to 799 of the family's 1533-position model. The record is from RNAcentral.
ACACUCCUACGGGAGGCAGCAGUGGGGAAUAUUGGACAAUGGGCGCAAGCCUGAUCCAGCCAUGCCGCGUGAGUGAUGAAGGCCCUAGGGUUGUAAAGCUCUUUCACCGGAGAAGAUAAUGACGGUAUCCGGAGAAGAAGCCCCGGCUAACUUCGUGCCAGCAGCCGCGGUAAUACGAAGGGGGCUAGCGUUGUUCGGAAUUACUGGGCGUAAAGCGCACGUAGGCGGAUCGAUCAGUCAGGGGUGAAAUCCCAGGGCUCAACCCUGGAACUGCCUUUGAUACUGUCGAUCUGGAGUAUGGAAGAGGUGAGUGGAAUUCCGAGUGUAGAGGUGAAAUUCGUAGAUAUUCGGAGGAACACCAGUGGCGAAGGCGGCUCACUGGUCCAUUACUGACGCUGAGGUGCGAAAGCGUGGGGAGCAAACAGGAUUAGAAACCCCAGUAGUCCCAUG